RNAcentral lists this ribosomal RNA (450 nucleotides) under uncultured bacterium. RNAcentral's name for it is "partial 16S ribosomal RNA". It matches the Rfam family "Bacterial small subunit ribosomal RNA", at positions 354 to 796 of the family's 1533-position model. The record is from RNAcentral.
GUGGGGAAUAUUGGACAAUGGGCGAAAGCCUGAUCCAGCCAUGCCGCGUGUGUGAAGAAGGUCUUCGGAUUGUAAAGCACUUUAAGUUGGGAGGAAGGGUAGUAACCUAAUACGUUGCUACUUUGACGUUACCGACAGAAUAAGCACUGGCUAACUUCGUGCCAGCAGCCGCGGUAAUACGAAGGGUGCAAGCGUUAAUCGGAAUUACUGGGCGUAAAGCGCGCGUAGGUGGUUCAGUAAGUUGGAAGUGAAAUCCCCGGGCUCAACCUGGGAACUGCAUCCAAAACUGGCGAGCUAGAGUACGGUAGAGGGUGGUGGAAUUUCCUGUGUAGCGGUGAAAUGCGUAGAUAUAGGAAGGAACACCAGUGGCGAAGGCGACCACCUGGACUGAUACUGACACUGAGGUGCGAAAGCGUGGGGAGCAAACAGGAUUAGAAACCCUGGUAGUCC